Xenopus laevis (African clawed frog) is the source of this 601-nucleotide long non-coding RNA. RefSeq lists it as uncharacterized. The record is from RefSeq and is a predicted model, not a curated record. The transcript is spliced from 3 exons. Lineage: Eukaryota; Metazoa; Chordata; Amphibia; Anura; Pipidae.
AAAGUGUUUGGUGGCUGCAAAUAUUUGUGGUUUUAUUGAUAACCAGCAAGAAACAAGUGUUUCUCUCUAUUUCUUCCAUUAAACUAAAAAAAAAAACACUGCGAGGAAGCGGACAAUGUACACUCCACGGGGGGGGAAGCCACUCCCCUGACGACUACGUAUUGCGUCACCGCGCCUAUAUAGAUGUACUUGCGACACCAACUUCUCGCGAGAUGAGGCCUAUAAUGGCGGAUCCUCAAAGCCAUGCGUAGAAGGCAUUGCGAGGCUGCGGCCUGGUUGGAGGAAAGCGGCCCAUUUGGUGGUGUGUGGUUUUCUGCGCUAUGUUAACUAACGUGAAGAGUGUGCUGCGCUUCGUUAUUGGUUGGGAAUCUUGAACUAAAGCUUUCGACCAGCGCACUUUGUUGUUUUCUAACACCCACUGUUUCCUUUUUCUUGCGUGUGUUGCUUAGCCUUCUGGGUCCAAGUAUCCUCUGUUGCCUUCACAACACAAAGGUAUUUCAAGUUUGAUCUCUCUCUCCGGUUAUUCCUCUACCCAUUGAAAAAUGUUUGUUUUUUGUCUUAAUUCUCAUUUUCUACUGAAUAAAGAUUUUAUACUUUGGUA